This 253-nucleotide ribosomal RNA is filed under the name uncultured bacterium. Its description in RNAcentral is "partial 16S ribosomal RNA". It matches the Rfam family "Bacterial small subunit ribosomal RNA", at positions 524 to 776 of the family's 1533-position model. The record is from RNAcentral.
UACGAGAGGCCCAAACGUUAUUCGGAUUUACUGGGCUUAAAGAGUUCGUAGGCGGCGCAGAAAGUAGGGUGUGAAAGCCCUCGGCCUAACCGAGGAAUUGCGCUCUAAACUACUGUGCUUGAGGAAUCUAGAGGUGAGCGGAACUGAUGGUGGAGCGGUGAAAUGCGUUGAUAUCAUCAGGAACACCGGAGGCGAAGGCGGCUCACUGGGGAUUUUCUGACGCUGAGGAACGAAAGCCAGGGGAGCAAACAGG